AGUGGAUGGGGAACAACCUAGUUGUGCGUGUGUAAAGGUAGUGCCAAGAAAAGCGGUGAUCAUGAUGAAAAUCAAUUCCCGGUACCCGAAACCGACACAGGUGGGCAAGUAGAGAAUACUAAGGGGCGCGAGGUAACUCUCUCCAAGGAACUCGGCAAAAUGACCCCGUAACUUAGGGAGAAGGGGUGCCACCGAGAGGUGGUCGCAGUGAAGAGGCCCAGGCGACUGUUUAGCAAAAACAUAGGUCUCUGCAAACUCGAAAGAGGAGGUAUAGGGGCUGACGCCUGCCCAGUGCCGGAAGGUUAAAGAAGUUGGUCAGUCUUAGGAUGAAGCUAGCGACUGAAGCCCCGGUGAACGGCGGCCGUAACUAUAACGGUCCUAAGGUAGCGAAAUUCCUUGUCGGGUAAGUUCCGACCCGCACGAAAGGCGUAACGAUCUGGGCGCUGUCUCGGAGAGAGGCUCGGCGAAAUAGGAUUGACUGUGAAGAUACGGACUACCUGCAUUUGGACAGAAAGACCCUAUGAAGCUUUACUAUAGCUUGGAAUUGUGUUCGGGCUUCCUGUGCGCAGGAUAGGUGGGAGGCGUAGAAGGUAUUCUUGUGGGGAUACUGGAGCCAACGGUGAGAUACCACUCUCAGGAGGCUAGAAUUCUAACUUAAUUAAGGACAGUUUCAGGUGGGUAGUUUGACUGGGGCGGUCGCCUCCAAAAAGGUAACGGAGGCGUACAAAGGUUCCCUCAGACUGGUUGGAAAUCAGUCGCAGAGUGCAAAGGCAGAAGGGAGCUUGACUGCGAGAAGUACAGUUCGAGCAGGGUGGAAACACGGUCUUAGUGAUCCGACGGUGCUGUGUGGAAGGGCCGUCGCUCAACGGAUAAAAGUUACUCUAGGAUAACAGGCUGAUCUCCCCCAAGAGUUCACAUCGACGGGGAGGUUUGGCACCUCGAUGUCGGCUCAUCGCAACCUGGGGCGGAAGUACGUCCCAAGGGUUGGGCUGUUCGCCCAUUAAAGCGGUACGUGAGCUGGGUUCAGAACGUCGUGAGACAGUUCGGUCCAUAUCCGAUGUAGGCGUGAGAAUAUUGAGAGGAGCCUUCCUUAGUACGAGAGGACCGGGAAGGACGCACCGCUGGUGUACCUGUUAUGAUGCCAAUUGUAAACGCAGGGUAGCCAAGUGCGGAGAGGAUAACCGCUGAAAGCAUCUAAGUGGGAAGCCCACCUCAAGAUGAGUAUUCUGGUGUAAGGUCACGGGAAGACGACCCGUAAAUAGGCACGAGGUGGAAGUGCAGAGAUGUAUGAAGCCGAAGUGUACUAAUAGACCGUCGGCUUGACC
This 1325-nucleotide ribosomal RNA is filed under the name metagenome. RNAcentral describes it as "bacterial LSU rRNA". It matches the Rfam family "Bacterial large subunit ribosomal RNA", at positions 1561 to 2925 of the family's 2925-position model. The record is from RNAcentral.